Molecule: transfer RNA, 83 nt
Filed under: Clostridium sp.
Lineage: Bacteria; Bacillati; Bacillota; Clostridia; Eubacteriales; Clostridiaceae
Also listed under: 5 other names
Description: tRNA-Leu
Rfam family: tRNA
About the family: Transfer RNA (tRNA) molecules are approximately 80 nucleotides in length. Their secondary structure includes four short double-helical elements and three loops (D, anti-codon, and T loops).
Source: RNAcentral
GCCGCCAUGGCGGAACUGGCAGACGCACAUGACUCAAAAUCAUGCGGGCAACCGUGUGGGUUCGAUUCCCACUGGCGGCACCA